RNAcentral lists this ribosomal RNA (253 nucleotides) under uncultured bacterium. Its description in RNAcentral is "partial 16S ribosomal RNA". It matches the Rfam family "Bacterial small subunit ribosomal RNA", at positions 524 to 776 of the family's 1533-position model. The record is from RNAcentral.
UACGUAGGGGGCAAGCGUUAUCCGGAUUUACUGGGUGUAAAGGGAGCGUAGACGGCAGUGCAAGUCUGAAGUGAAAGGCGGGGGCCCAACCCCCGGACUGCUUUGGAAACUGUGCUGCUGGAGUGCAGGAGUGGCAAGUGGAAUUCCUAGUGUAGCGGUGAAAUGCGUAGAUAUUAGGAGGAACACCAGUGGCGAAGGCGGCUUGCUGGACUGUAACUGACGUUGAGGCUCGAAAGCGUGGGGAGCAAACAGG